RNAcentral lists this ribosomal RNA (292 nucleotides) under uncultured bacterium. RNAcentral's name for it is "partial 16S ribosomal RNA". The record is from RNAcentral.
GGACUACAAGGGUAUCUAAUCCUGUUUGCUCCCCAUGCUUUCGCGCCUCAGCGUCUGUAUCAGCCCAGUAAACCGUCUUCACCACCGGUGUUCUUCCACAUAUCUACGCAUUUCACCGCUACACGUGGAAUUCCGUUUACCCUAACUGAACUCUAGUUUAGGAGUUUCAAAUGCAGCUCCGGGGUUGAGCCCCGGAAUUUCACAUCUGACUUUCUAAACCGCCUACGCGCCCUUUACGCCCAGUAAUUCCGAUCAAUGCUUGCACCCUCCGUAUUACCGCGGCUGCUGGCAC